RNAcentral lists this ribosomal RNA (442 nucleotides) under uncultured bacterium. RNAcentral's name for it is "partial 16S ribosomal RNA". It matches the Rfam family "Bacterial small subunit ribosomal RNA", at positions 338 to 795 of the family's 1533-position model. The record is from RNAcentral.
CCUACGGGAGGCAGCAGUGGGGGAUAUUGCACAAUGGGGGGAACCCUGAUGCAGCGACGCCGCGUGGGUGAAGGAGCGUUUCGGCGCGUAAAGCCCUAUCGGCAGGGAAGAAGGAGGACGGUACCUGACUAAGAAGCCCCGGCUAACUACGUGCCAGCAGCCGCGGGAAUACGUAGGGGGCAAGCGUUAUCCGGAUGUAGUGGGUUUAAAGGGUGCGUAGGGUGUGAGGUAAGUCAGCGGGGAAAUGCCCCCGCUCAACGGGGUGAAGUGCCAUUGAUACUGCCUUGCUGGAGUGCGGAUGAGGUGGGAGGAAUGUGUGGUGUAGGGGUGAAAUGCAUAGAUAUCACACAGAACACCGAUUGCGAAGGCAUCUCACGAAUCCGCGAUUGACGCUGAUGCACGAAAGCGUGGGUAUCAAACAGGAUUAGAUACCCGAGUAGUC